This 558-nucleotide ribosomal RNA is filed under the name Bacillus pumilus. Its description in RNAcentral is "bacterial SSU rRNA". It matches the Rfam family "Bacterial small subunit ribosomal RNA", at positions 82 to 628 of the family's 1533-position model. The record is from RNAcentral. Lineage: Bacteria; Bacillati; Bacillota; Bacilli; Caryophanales; Bacillaceae.
AUCGUGAGGAUUUGCGGCGGAGGGUGAGUACACGUGGGUAACCUGCCUGUAAGACUGGGAUAACUCCGGGAAACCGGAGCUAAUACCGGAUAGUUCCUUGAACCGCAUGGUUCAAGGAUGAAAGACGGUUUCGGCUGUCACUUACAGAUGGACCCGCGGCGCAUUAGCUAGUUGGUGGGGUAAUGGCUCACCAAGGCGACGAUGCGUAGCCGACCUGAGAGGGUGAUCGGCCACACUGGGACUGAGACACGGCCCAGACUCCUACGGGAGGCAGCAGUAGGGAAUCUUCCGCAAUGGACGAAAGUCUGACGGAGCAACGCCGCGUGAGUGAUGAAGGUUUUCGGAUCGUAAAGCUCUGUUGUUAGGGAAGAACAAGUGCGAGAGUAACUGCUCGCACCUUGACGGUACCUAACCAGAAAGCCACGGCUAACUACGUGCCAGCAGCCGCGGUAAUACGUAGGUGGCAAGCGUUGUCCGGAAUUAUUGGGCGUAAAGGGCUCGCAGGCGGUUUCUUAAGUCUGAUGUGAAAGCCCCCGGCUCAACCGGGGAGGGUCAUUG